AGGACGAACGCUGGCGGCGUGCUUAACACAUGCAAGUCGAGCGGAAAGGCCCUUCGGGGUACUCGAGCGGCGAACGGGUGAGUAACACGUGAGAAACCUGCCUUUAGCUCUGGGAUAGCUUCGGGAAACCGGAAUUAAUACCGGAUACGACUACUGUCGGCAUCGACAAUGGUGGAAAGAUUUAUCGGCUAGAGAUGGUCUCGCGGCCUAUCAGCUUGUUGGUGAGGUAACGGCUCACCAAGGCGACGACGGGUAGCCGGCCUGAGAGGGCGACCGGCCACACUGGGACUGAGACACGGCCCAGACUCCUACGGGAGGCAGCAGUGGGGAAUAUUUCGCAAUGGGCGAAAGCCUGACGCAGCAACGCCGCGUGGGGGAUGAAUGCCUUCGGGUUGUAAGCUCUUUGGUCGGGAAGAAGGUUUUCUUGAAUACGGGAGAAUUUGACGGUACCGGCAGAAUAAGCACCGGCUAACUACGUGCCAGCAGCCGCGGUA
This 494-nucleotide ribosomal RNA is filed under the name uncultured bacterium. RNAcentral describes it as "SSU rRNA". It matches the Rfam family "Bacterial small subunit ribosomal RNA", at positions 26 to 522 of the family's 1533-position model. The record is from RNAcentral.